CUUUUUUACAUGGAAAUAUUAUUUAUUUCUUCUGCUGAUGGAAUGCAUGUCGUGUAUUGAGAAAUAGCAAAUAUUUGGCCUGCUUUUGCCUCAACCCUACCCAGUUCAGCAGAUUCUUAGCUGAAUUUCUAUCAUCAUUGCGACAAAGUGAUGACACACAGCAUAAUGGUGCUCUUGUAGCAAAAACUCUAUUUCUAAUGUCAGCAUUUUGAUGAGUUUUUGAAAAUUCAUUUAAUGAAUUGAGAGAGUUUUCUAAACUGGUAGUUGAUCGAAACUUGCUGUAUAUUCAAGGCUAAACCAUAAGUUCCUAGGGAAGAACUGGAUCUUUAAAGCUAUAUUACUCGUAAAUCCUAAUUGGUUAAGUUUAACAUACUUCUCAGGGAUUCACAUACUUGCCGGGU
RNAcentral lists this unclassified non-coding RNA (401 nucleotides) under Hevea brasiliensis (rubber tree). The record is from RNAcentral. Lineage: Eukaryota; Viridiplantae; Streptophyta; Magnoliopsida; Malpighiales; Euphorbiaceae.